AUUGAACGCUGGCGGCAGGCCUAACACAUGCAAGUCGCGCGAGCGGCGGACGGGUGAGUAAUGUAUGGGGACUGCCCGAUAGAGGGGGAUAACUACUGGAAACGGUGGCUAAUACCGCAUACUAUCGGAUAACCCAUAUGGGAUUAGCUAGUAGGUGGGGUAAAGGAUCACCUAGGCGACGAUCUCUAGCUGGUCUUAGAGGAUGAUCAGCCACACGGGGACGGAGACACGGCCCAGACUCCGACGGAGGCAGCAGUGGGGAAUAUUGCACAAUGGGCGCAAGACUGAUGCAGCAAUGCCGCGUGUAUGAAGAAGGCCUUAGGGUUGUAAAGUACUUUCAGCAUCGACGCGGUAGAUGGAGAAGAAGCACCGGCUAACUACGUGCCAGCAGCCGCGGUAAUAC
This 403-nucleotide ribosomal RNA is filed under the name uncultured bacterium. RNAcentral's name for it is "partial 16S ribosomal RNA". It matches the Rfam family "Bacterial small subunit ribosomal RNA", at positions 30 to 526 of the family's 1533-position model. The record is from RNAcentral.